Molecule: ribosomal RNA, 305 nt
Filed under: uncultured bacterium
Lineage: Bacteria
Description: bacterial SSU rRNA
Rfam family: Bacterial small subunit ribosomal RNA
Source: RNAcentral
CUAUGCCUACGGGGGGCAGCAGUCGGGAAUAUUGCGCAAUGGAGGAAACUCUGACGCAGUGACGCCGCGUAUAGGAUGACGGCCCUACGGGUUGUAAACCUCUUUUGUCGGGGAGCAAAUUCCGUUACGUGUAACGGAGUCGAGAGUACCCGAAGAAAAAGCAUCGGCUAACUCCGUGCCAGCAGCCGCGGUAAUACGGAGGAUGCGAGCGUUAUCCGGAUUUAUUGGGUUUAAAGGGUGCGUAGGCGGACUGUCAAGUCAGCGGUAAAAUACGGGGGCUCAACCUCCGCCCGCCGUUGAAACUG